Molecule: long non-coding RNA, 6249 nt
Filed under: Sus scrofa (pig)
Lineage: Eukaryota; Metazoa; Chordata; Mammalia; Artiodactyla; Suidae
Description: lncRNA (ENSSSCG00000055544.1)
Source: RNAcentral
AGUUCCUGGGCCUGGGAUCAGACCCAAGCCACAGCAGUGACAAUGCCAAAUACUUAACUGCUAGGCCACCAGGAAAUGCCUACUGGAGACAUUUUACUGGCCUAGCACUGCUAUUGUGGCAUCCUAGCAUUUUGUCUAAAUACAAUAUAUUUGUUUCAUAAUUCUUAGCAUUUUUCCUGCUUUUAGUUUUACUGAAAUAUAGUUGAUGUACAAUGCAGUGAUAAUUUCUUCCUUUCUUUCUUUCUUUCUUUCUCUUUCUUUCUUUCUUUCUUUCUUUCUUUCUUUCUUUCUUUCUUUCUUUCUUUCUUUCUUUCUUUCUUUCUUUCUUUCUUUCCUUCCUUCCUUCCUUCCUUCCUUCCUUCCUUCCUUCCUUCCUUCUUUCUUCUGUUUUUUUAGGACCUCACCCACAGCAUAUGGAGGUUCCCAGGCUAGGGGUCGAAUAGGAGCUGCAGCUGCCGGCCUAAACCACAGCCAUAGCAACAUCAGACCCAAGCUGCAUCUGUGACCUACACCACAGCUCAUGGCAAUGCUGGAUCCUUAACCCACUGAGCGAGGCCAGGGAUCGAACCCACGUCCUCAUGGAUACUAGUUAGGGUUGUUAACUGCUGAGCCAUGAUGGGAACUCCCCUGUUGUGAUCAUUUCUGCUGUACAACAAAGUGAUUCAGUUAUACACACGUUCCUUCUUUUUCAUAUUCUUUUCCCCAUGUAGAUUAUCACAGAAUAUUGGAUAGAAUUCCCUAUGCUAUACAGCAGGUUCCCAUUAGCUAGCAUAUUUAGUAUAGGUGUAGGUAUGAUAAUCAUUUGUGCUUUCUUCACUUUUGGUUUUUCUUCACUUUGGCUUAUUUUCACUUUUUCUGUUAUUUGCUGUUGAACAAGAGAUUUUCCGUACAUAACGUUAGAAGUGUGAAGGCCAAAGAGUUCUGUAGAAGGAUACAGAAUGAGCAAAUUAAGCAACUUUUUAAUAUCUUUUUUCUCUAAGUUUCCAGAAAUUUAGACAUUCCCAUGUUAUCAGUACAAAAACAUGCCACGGUCAAGAGUAUAUCUUUGUUGUUGUUGUUAUUAUUAUUCAAUGAAUUUUGUUAACAUUUAUAGUUGUACAGUGGUCGUCACAACCAAAUCUUACAUUUCCAUCCCAAACCCUCAGUGCCUCCCCCACCCCCCGAACCUGUCUCAUUUGGAAACUAUAAGUUUUUCACAGUCCAUGAGUCGGUAUCUGUUCUGCAAAGAAGUUCAUUGUGUCCUUUUUUUAGAUUCUGCUUGUAAGUGGUAGCAUUUGAUGUUGGCGUCUCACUGUCUGACUGGCUUCACUUAGCAUGAUAAUUUCUAGGUCCAUCCAUGUUGCUACAAAUGCCAUUAUUUCUUUCCUCUUAAUGGCUGAGUCAUAUUCCAUUGUGUUUAUGUACCACAUCUUCUUGAUCCACUCCUCUGUCGAUGGGCAUUUAGGUUGUUUCCAUGUCUUGGUUAUUGUAUAUAGUGCUACAAUGACCAAGAGUAUAUCUUUAACAAGAGUGUUAUUUGCUUUGUAACUGAGUCUCUGAUAAAAUGAUAAACAGUUCCAUAUGAGAUCAGUGAUCUCUAGAUAUGGGAAAGUGCAACAAGAGGGAAUGUUUUCCUGGCCCAUAACAGACUAGGAAGAUAGGUGGUCCAGAGUCUUUUGGCUCUGGUGAAUAAGGCCUAGUCCAGUAAUAGCACAUUGAGUCGCCUGAAAUCUUGCCAGGACUUGGAAUGUUCAUUCCUAGCACUCUGGAUGAAAUGGUCAUGAAAUGCCUUCCAAAAAAAACUAUGGUUGAAUUAUGACCAUGGGGGAGCCCUGUGAACUGAAGUUUGGCACUUGCCAUCAGCCUCUACAUAGAGUAGAGCAUGAGCCCCUGUAGCUGCCGACCCGCAGCACCCCCUGAGCAGAGCUCAGCAUGGAGACCAGGAGUGGGGCACUCUGUGCUCUGGGAAAACGGACAGAACCGGCCUUCAGUUAGUUAGAUUUCAGGUGAGGAUUUUUAUGAGUCCAAAUUCCCGCAUCUUCUUCUCCUUUCUAGAAAAACGGAAAUCAUUUACAGUGGCAUCUGCAUCGGGCAUUAGAGAGAAAAGGCAGAAUAGAGUAGCUGUGGGUCAGGCAGCCAAGGUGAUGCUAGGAAAUAUGAUGGGAGUGAUUUUAGACUAGUCUUUCUAUUGCUGAAAACUUAAGGUUUAUGUGCCCUGUCAGACUUGAUGCCACCAGCUGGUCUCACAGCAGCAUCAGCUGGCAGCUCAACCUCACAUCUUCAAGGCCUCCUCUUAAAACAACAGACAGGAGACAACAUGAUAAGGACCGAGAGCUCCUGUUAUUUAGGUACUAAUACCGCAUCAAACAUUAAGACCUACUUAGAUAAAACCGCACUCCUCCUUCAACAGUACCGGUAUCAACCUAAACUCCAAACCUCUGUUGAAUCUUAUUUUUCUUUUCUUCCCAGUCUCUAUAGUAGGAACCUACCAUGUCCAGCCACCCAGUACUUGUCGCCCCAGCCAGCAGGAAGUAGCUACAGAAGAGAGCACCGUCGCCCUGUCCCAUGUGACCGAAGGCUGGGGUGAUAGGUUCCCAGGAGGAUGGAGACAGACCCCUGCCCCCCAAAUGUGAUUGUUCACCUUGGAGUCCUGUGGACGUGGGUACCGCCCAGCACAAGAUCUACACCCUUUGCUGGAAUGCGGGGCAUAGAUCAACCACCUAGGAGGAAUAACUGCCCUCUGUCACAGGACUCGACCACCUGCCCCUCUCUUGACCUUGCCCCCCUCCCUCGUUCUUGCCACACGCUUCCACCAUGAACUCCAUCCAGCCUCAGAUCCUUUAUCCACCUAGCACCUCCUCACAGUCAGGGCUGGUGCCAUCUUGAGCUCAGCCCCUGCACCUCUGGACCCUUAAUCUCUUUUGCUUUACCAAAAAUAAAAAAUAAAUAAAAGUGUUAUUUGUUGCAUUAGCACAGAUAGAUAUUUGAGAAUAACUAUCAUCGUAUGUGUAAGACUUUUCCUAAAAUUUUAGUGAGGAUCCAGUUAAUACUUUGCCAUUUUUAUAUGUUUAUCAAGUCCUUCCCCCCCUUUUCAUUUUCAGAAUCCUGUUCUUGUUAAUAUAUUUUGCUGAGUAGGCUUCAGCUUCGAUUUUGUUUUGAUCCAUUUUUGUGCUGUUCCAUGAGUAUGCCCAGAGACCAUUUGUGUGACCAAUUUUUAAAAGUAAAGCACAAAAAUAUAAAUAUACACGCUGAAGAUGUUAUAGUUAUUUUUCCUUCCUGCUUGUACAAUUAGUAAUUGCAGUGCAUAUUGUUAAAGAACAAAAUCAUGACUUUCUUCUUUUUUUUUUUUUUUUGCUUUUUAGGGCCACACCCGCAGCAUAUGGAGUUUCCCAGGCUAAGGGUCAAAUCGGAGCUACAGCCGCUGGCCUAUGCCACAGCGACGCAGAUCCAGGAUCUGAGCCAUGUCUGUGAUCUACACCAUAGCUCACGGCAACGCUGGAUUCCCAGCCCACUAAGCGAGGCCAGGAAUUAAACCUGCAUCCUCAUGGUUCCUAGUCAGGUUUGUUAACCACUGAGCCACGAAGGGAACUCUAAAAUCAUAGCAUCUUAAGAGUUGAAAGGCAACUUCAAAGUCCUAUAGCUCAGCCUCCUGCCCAGAACAAAUCUAGAAUGUUACCAACAAGGAGUCACCAAAUUACAGUUGAUAUUCCUACAAUGAGAAAAUACACUACCUUAUAAACCUUUUCUCUUUUAGGUGGUUCUAGUUGUUUGAUUUUUUUUUUUUUUCCUGUUAGACAAUUGAAAUAUCUCUCUAGGACAAGUUGGUCCUACAUUUUUCAUUUGUAUUAUAAAAGAGCUAUUGUAUCUCCUGCUAAAUCUUCUCUUUUCUAGGCUUAACAUCCCUAGGCCUUUGUUCCUUAAAGCCUUCACCAGCAUUUGUAAUUUGGAUGUACCUUGGUUUUAUGUGGUUACUUACGUAAGUUAGGAAGCUUCUGUCUACAAGUAAAAGAAAACGCACCUAAAAAGAGUGGUACCCUAAAAGCUUUAAAUAGCAAUCAUUUACUAUUUCACAUAGAACAAUACAUCUGGAGAUGAGGUGGUUCUAGAUGCUUAUCAGUGUUAUUAAGAACCAUAUUGUGUCUCUUUCAACUCUCUCAUCCUUAAUGCAGGGGAUUUUAUUUUCAUUUUAUCCUCUUAUGUUUGCAGGCCACCAUAGCAGCUCCAAGCAAAGCUUUACAUAGCCACAUCCAGAGGCAAGAAAAAAAGGUUUUCCUUAUUCUUUUUCUUCUGAGUACAACUUUUUUCCAGAAAUUCCUCAGCAGAUGUGCCUUUGAUAUAUAUCACAUUCCUGCUAAACCACCAUUGGUUAAAGUGAGGCUCUCCCUACCCAGAAGGUCAGGGAAACGGUUAGAUUUGAAUGGGGAAGCAAUAGUUUGUUGAUCACCAAAAUGGAAUACUUAAUACUGUGUGGUCUGACGAAGGCUAUAAUGGAAUUUAUUAACCCAAAUUAUGCAAAAAACCAUUACAUGACAGGCAGUGGGUCUGGUGUUAGAAUACCAGCUAUCUAUCCUUCCCUACAUGGAUUAAAUAUCCCACACAGGGAGACAAACAAGUAAAUUUCAAUUUUAAUAUGGCGAGUUAAAUGCCAUGAUAAGAUAAUUAUGUGUACCCUAGCAUUGGAGAAUCAGGGAAGUCUUCCCAGAGGAGGUGACAUCUAAGCUAAACUCUGAAAGAUGAGUCAAUUAGAGUGAAAAGGUUGUAGGAAAAGAAUAGGUUGGAGACAAGAGUAUGGUUAAUUCCAAGAGAAUUGCAACUGUCAGUCCAGAUAUUGCUUCUUUAGGGUAAUCUAAGACGAUGUUUACUUGGUUUCAGUUUUUAAGCAAUUUUCCUUCCAUAUAUAAUUUGUGGUGAUUUGUAACAUCAGGACUCUCAUUUGUGUGUAUUACUGCUGAGUCGGGUCUCCUAUCCUGUAUAUUUGUAAUUUAUUUUUUAAACCUCCGUGUACGUUUUUCCAUUCAUUUAAUUUCAUUUGGCUUGUACUUAUUAGUCCAGGAGUCAGCAACUUUUUUUUCUGUAAAAGGCACGGUAGUAAUUAUUUUGUGGAUCCAUGCGCCCUCUGUUGCAGCUACUCAGCUCUGCCAUUGUAGAGUGAAAGCAGCCAUAGACAUUAUGUAAAGGAAUGCACAUGGCUAUGUUCCAGUAAAACUUUACAAGAAAAAGCAGUUAGCUAUUGUCCGCUGACCCCUGUCUAGGACCCAGACUGCUGGUAUUAUUCCAGUCCUAGGGUAACUUACAGCACCAGGAAAGUGAGAGUUCAUGUUUCUUCCUAGUCAGUCUUCCAGGCAGAGGUACUGACGAGAAAAAAGUAAGACGUGAGUCUGUAAUUAAAUGAUUCUAUUUACCAUAAUAACUUGAUCAGUCAGCAGAUGACCCUCCCAAAUAUGUAAGCUCACAGACUGGUCCAACCUUUAUGUAUAACAACCCAUUCCGUGGGUACUUUAUUUUUAUUUAUUUGUUUAUUUGUUUUUUCAGGGCCACACCCAUAGCAUAUGGAGGUUCCCAGGCGAGGGGUUGAAAAGGAGCUGCAGCCUUCAGCCUACACCACAGCCACAGCAGUGCCAGAUCCAAGCCGCGUCUGCGACCGACACCAGAGCUCACAGCAACGCUGGAUCCCUAACCCACUGAGCGAGGCCAGGCAUCCAACCCGAAUCCUCAUGGAUGCUAGAUGGGUUCAUUAAUGGCUGAGCCAUGACAGGAACUCCUGUAAGUACUUUGCCUAAUUUCACCCAGAUUCCCAAACAGCACCUUCUUGAAUGGCCAUACAGUUUGAUCCUGUCUGUCGUAUCAUUACAUUAGAGGGUGUCCCUGACGACUUUGUUUUCUCCCUUUCCACCCCUUUCUUGGUGAUAACCUAUUACUACUACUUUUUAAAUUAAAGUAUAAUUGAUUUACAUUACUGUAAUUUUAGGUGGGCGGGGUAGUGAUUCAAUAUUUUUAUGGAUUCUACUCCAUUUAAAGUUAUUACAAAGUAAUGGCUCUGCUGUGCACCAUGUCCUCCCACACACCCCAUCUUGCCUAUCUCCCUUCCCGCUCCCCACUGAUAACCACUGAUUUGUUCUCCGUAUCUGGGAGUCUGUUUCUGUUUGUUAUGUACGUUCAUUUAUGUUAUUUUUUAGCUUCCAUGUAUUAGUGAUAACACAGAGUACUGGUCUUUCUCUGACUUAUUUCACUGUACUUUCCUUAUUAAGCAUAAUACUCUCAAGGUCCCUC